Molecule: ribosomal RNA, 478 nt
Filed under: uncultured bacterium
Lineage: Bacteria
Description: bacterial SSU rRNA
Rfam family: Bacterial small subunit ribosomal RNA
Source: RNAcentral
GAUCAUGGCUACAGGACGAACGCUGGCGGCGUGCCUAACACAUGCAAGUCGAACGGAGAUAUGAUUUCGGUUGUAUCUUAGUGGCGAACGGGUGAGUAACGCGUGAGCAACCUGACUCUUAGAGGGGGAUAACACUCGGAAACGGGUGCUAAUACCGCAUAAGACCACGACAUGGCAUCAUGACGAGGUCAAAGGAGCAAUCCGCUGAGAGAGGGGCUCGCGUCCCAUUAGAUAGAUGGCGGGGUAACGGCCCACCAUGUCAGCGAUGGGUAGCCGAGCUGAGAGGCUGAUCGGCCACACUGGAACUGAGACACGGUCCAGACUCCUACGGGAGGCAGCAGUGGGGAAUAUUGGGCAAUGGGCGCAAGUCUGACCCAGCAACGCCGCGUGAGGGAAGAAGGCUUUCGGGUUGUAAACCUCUGUCCUUGGUGACGAAAAAAUGACGGUAGCCAAGGAGGAAGCCCCGGCUAACUACGUG